This 862-nucleotide long non-coding RNA is filed under the name Rhinopithecus bieti (black snub-nosed monkey). RNAcentral describes it as "lncRNA (ENSRBIG00000046567.1)". Lineage: Eukaryota; Metazoa; Chordata; Mammalia; Primates; Cercopithecidae. The record is from RNAcentral.
CUUAAUUUUUGUCACAUUAUAAAGCUUGUUGAAUCCAUUCAAUUUUUUGCCAGAUUGAUAGGGAAUAAUUAUUCAAUUCUUCACGUAUUCUUUACAUUUAUAUCAAAAUAGCGUAGUGGCUUUAGCAUUCCAAAAUUAACAAAGAAUGUGAUAGUCAUAAUAAUAGUCAUGUAACUUGGAGAAACCUCAAUUAUUUUUCCAAUGCUUAUGCAGCUGCAGUUAGUGCGGUGGACCCUGAUGCAGGAAAUGGAGAACUUUGCAUUAAGGUUCCAUCAGAGCUGUGGAAACACGUUGAUGAGUUAAAGGUCCUGAAGAUACACAUCAAUUUUUCUCUGGAUCAGCCCAAAGGAGGUCUUCAUUUUGUGGUACCCAGUGUAGAGGGAAGUAUGGCAGAGAGAGGUGCUCAUGUUUUCUCUUGUGGGUAUCAAAAUUCUACAAGAUUUUGGUUUCCUUGUGUUGAUUCAUACUCUGAAUUGUGUACAUGGAAAUUAGAAUUUACAGUAGAUGCUGCAAUGGUUGCUGUUUCUAAUGGCGAUUUGGUGGAGACAGUGUAUACCCAUGAUAUGAGGAAGAAAACUUUCCAUUAUAUGCUUACCAUUCCUACAGCAGCGUCAAAUAUCUCCUUGGCCAUUGGACCAUUUGAAAUACUUGUAGAUCCAUACAUGCAUGAGGUAAGUCAGAGCUCUCCCCUCUUACUCUCCUCUUGGCCUUUUACUGCUUUUAAAACGAUGGAUGUUGACUGGGUGCAGUGGCUCACACCUGUAAUCCCAGCACUUUGGGAGGCCAAGGCAUGUGGAUCACGAGGUCAGGAAAUCGAUCCUGGCCAACACAGCAAAACCCAGUCAUUACUAAAAAUACAAAA